GUUUGGUGACGAAGUGUUCCAGAAGUUCCUGGCAAUGUGGUCAAUAUUCUUCAAGCCAAAAAUCAUUGCAGACUGCAAGACUCUUAAGAAUAUGGGCGAGCUGCUGUCAGGAACUGAACCUGAAUCUGAGGACUACAAUGCGACAUGUCCUCAAUCCUUUUGCAGCUGCAUCUGCUCCCUCUAACCUCAAGAGGCCAGAAAAAAAUAUCCAAGAUCAGUUCAGCUCAAGCAACCAGCCAUCUUGUGAGCUGUCUUAAGGAAGGAGCCAGUGUGAAUACCUUCAUUGAGAGUGCUGACACAAGACAACCAUUUCUCCUCUGCAUCGGUGAGCGAAAGAAGGAUAUCCCAAAGUUCUACGUCAUUAUCGACCAAAAGGC
This is a long non-coding RNA of Ictalurus punctatus (channel catfish), 377 nucleotides long. RefSeq lists it as uncharacterized. NCBI's taxonomy places the organism in Eukaryota, Metazoa, Chordata, Actinopteri, Siluriformes, Ictaluridae. The record is from RefSeq and is a predicted model, not a curated record. The transcript is spliced from 3 exons.